GACGUAGGGCGCAGGCGUUGUCCGGAUUUAUUGGGCGUAAAGAGCUCGUAGGCGGCCUGUCGCGUCGACCGUGAAAACCCGCAGCUCAACUGCGGGCUUGCGGUCGAUACGGGCAGGCUGGAGUUCGGUAGGGGAGACUGGAAUUCCUGGUGUAGCGGUGAAAUGCGCAGAUAUCAGGAGGAACACCGGUGGCGAAGGCGGGUCUCUGGGCCGAUACUGACGCUGAGGAGCGAAAGCGUGGGGAGCGAACAGG
Molecule: ribosomal RNA, 253 nt
Filed under: uncultured bacterium
Lineage: Bacteria
Description: partial 16S ribosomal RNA
Rfam family: Bacterial small subunit ribosomal RNA
Source: RNAcentral